RNAcentral lists this ribosomal RNA (440 nucleotides) under uncultured bacterium. RNAcentral describes it as "partial 16S ribosomal RNA". It matches the Rfam family "Bacterial small subunit ribosomal RNA", at positions 339 to 795 of the family's 1533-position model. The record is from RNAcentral.
CUACGGGAUGCUCCAGUAGGGAAUUUUGCGCAAUGGACGAAAGUCUGACGCAGCAACACCGUGUGGACGAAGAAGCUUUUAGGAGUGUAAAGUCCUGUCAGUAGGGACGAAAUUUGACUGUACCUACAGAGGAAGCAUCGGCUAACUACGUGCCAGCAGCCGCGGUAAUACGUAGGAUGCUAGCGUUGUCCGGAAUUAUUGGGCGUAAAGAGUUCGUAGGCGGCAUAUCAAGUCUGGUGUUAAAGACUGAGGCUUAACCUCAGAAAAGCACUGGAAACUGAUAAGCUAGAGUCCGGUAGAGGUAAGGGGAAUUCCCAGUGUAGCGGUGAAAUGCAUAGAUAUUGGGAGGAACACCAGAGGCGAAAGCGCCUUACUGGGCCGGUACUGACGCUGAGGAACGAAAGCCAGGGGAGCGAAUGGGAUUAGAUACCCCAGUAGUC